CCAUCCGCGUGCAGGACGAAGGCCUUCGGGUUGUAAACUGCUUUUGUACGGAACGAAAAAGCUUCGGUUAAUACCCGGAGUCCAUGACGGUACCGUAAGAAUAAGCACCGGCUAACUACGUGCCAGCAGCCGCGGUAAUACGUAGGGUGCAAGCGUUAAUCGGAAUUACUGGGCGUAAAGCGUGCGCAGGCGGUUAUAUAAGACAGAUGUGAAAUCCCCGGGCUCAACCUGGGAACUGCAUUUGUGACUGUAUAGCUGGAGUGCGGCAGAGGGGGAUGGAAUUCCGCGUGUAGCAGUGAAAUGCGUAGAUAUGCGGAGGAACACCGAUGGCGAAGGCAAUCCCCUGGGCCUGCACUGACGCUCAUGCACGAAAGCGUGGGGAGCAAACAGGAUUAGAUACCCUGGUAGUCCACGCCCUAAACGAUGUCAACUGGUUGUAGGGUCUUCACUGACUCAGUAACGAAGCUAACGCGUGAAGUUGACCGNCUGGGGAGUUCGGACGCAAGGUUGAAACUCAAAGGAAUC
RNAcentral lists this ribosomal RNA (525 nucleotides) under uncultured bacterium. RNAcentral describes it as "bacterial SSU rRNA". It matches the Rfam family "Bacterial small subunit ribosomal RNA", at positions 392 to 911 of the family's 1533-position model. The record is from RNAcentral.